AACGGAAACUUUAAAAGAAACCUAAACUAAAACCGAGUGAAGGCCUCUUACAUUAAAAGUCCCCGAAAAAUGCCGCAACUAUCUCAGAAAAUCAGCUGCAAAUAACUAUUUAGUUGUGACAGAAAACUAUCGCAAAGAUACAACA
Molecule: small nucleolar RNA, 145 nt
Filed under: Drosophila melanogaster (fruit fly)
Lineage: Eukaryota; Metazoa; Arthropoda; Insecta; Diptera; Drosophilidae
Description: small nucleolar RNA Psi28S-612
Source: RNAcentral